Molecule: non-coding RNA, 269 nt
Organism: Caenorhabditis elegans
Lineage: Eukaryota; Metazoa; Nematoda; Chromadorea; Rhabditida; Rhabditidae
Gene: F20G2.9
Product: ncRNA
Source: Ensembl
GGAUGAGAAUGUUGUCGGAGAGGGUCUUGGUAGCAUCAUCUAUCUGGAAUUUAGCAAGAAUUUAUUUAACGGUUACUAUUGUGAAAUCUUGAUCAUUAUUUUCAAACGUUUUGGUGUCGAUGAGUGAGGAAUUACUUUUUUCGAAUUGAUUCCCAGCUCAUCUAGUAUGAUUGUUAAUCACAACAAUUGUUUUUGUAAAGAAAGAUUAUUUCCAAACGUCAAGAUUACAAACACGCGUUUCUGUCAAUAAAUUCCGAGUAAAUCAUUUG